Molecule: long non-coding RNA, 1074 nt
Filed under: Mus musculus (house mouse)
Lineage: Eukaryota; Metazoa; Chordata; Mammalia; Rodentia; Muridae
Description: predicted gene 45349
Source: RNAcentral
AGCGUGAGUCAUCACAUCUCCAGGCCCUGGAAGUCUUCACAGCUCAUUGGCUCUGCACCCCAAGCAGGAAGGUCCUCAGAGGAGGACCAGACGUUGGAAGACUUUACCAAAACCAGGAAUAAGUCGGCAGAGAAAAAUAAGAGGCGCCAUGGGAGCUAAGCACGUGUGCUGAAAAAAAUUCAGGGGGCAGAGCUCGGCGAGUGAUGCACCCCCUCAUGAGUUCAAGACCCCAGCUCCAGUCUCUGGCACCCACGUGAAUGUUGGGUGAGUGGGGCAACCCACUGAUAAUCUCAGCCAUCAGGCAGAGACAGAGGAUUCCUGGGGCAAGCUAAUGAACUAGACCAGCUGACUCAGUAAACAGAAAUGUACUUCAGCAGAUACUAAGGGAGAAAGAGAGCCGAGUAGGAUCUGCCAAGAAGCAUAUAAGCACCAUCUUUAAGUGCCCGUCACUGCCCACUCACCGAAUGGAUUGGAUAAUAGCAAGGAGAGCUGGUUCGAUUCUAAGGAAGAGAAACCACACUGGAGAGACAGGAGGCAAGACACAGCUGCUUUCCAGGAAUUCUUGUUCACACACCAUGUAUUAAAGCUGUGGUGCCCAGCUUACUGCUUUUUGAAGAGGAUGUAAACUAUAAGAGAGGCCGGGAUAGCUGUGGGCAGUGAACAUGACUGCUGGUGACUGUGUGAGUUGAUACUAUAAUUCACAGGACUGUCACCCUUACUUUCACCUUUAACUACGACCCCACUACUUCAACUCUUCAACUUUCACAGUGGUGUGAAGAAGUGCUCUCUUGUGAUCAUGAUACUCUACCCAAGCACGUCAUGCUACAGGAAGGACUCUGCCUGCCUGCGAACUCAGCAAGACUUCUCCUGCCAAAUCCCCUCAUGGUGUUACUUCUUCCUCGUUAACCUACCAGGGCAAUUUUACAUUGACUUAUGAGCUUCCCUGGUGGAUAACAGCAUUUCCCACCAGAAUCCAGGCUUAAUGAGGAGGGGACCAUGUUCAAUUUUACCCAUGGAGAGACUUAUGGUGCCGAUCACCAUGCUGAGCACAUAUUAACACUUAAUAAAAAAAUA